CCUUCGAUAGCUCAGCUGGAAGAGCGUGGGACUGUAAUGUACGCUUACGUAAGCACUUAUCCCGAGGCCAUCGGUUCGAUCCCGAUUCGAAGGA
RNAcentral lists this transfer RNA (94 nucleotides) under Galerina marginata CBS 339.88. It matches the Rfam family "tRNA". From Rfam's summary of the family: Transfer RNA (tRNA) molecules are approximately 80 nucleotides in length. The record is from Rfam by way of RNAcentral. Lineage: Eukaryota; Fungi; Basidiomycota; Agaricomycetes; Agaricales; Galerinaceae.